UCACCCCUCAAGCCCCCGGGCUUGGUGUUGGACGGCCUGGCGGGGACCUCUCGGUCGCCGCCCCUCCCAAAGACAAUGACGGCGGCUCGUUGGACCCCCGGUACACUGAGUUCUUCACGGGACACGUACUGGAUCAAGGGUGCGCGGGCGACGGUCUACCUCCCCCUCGCGGGAGAACUUUUUUCUUAA
This 189-nucleotide unclassified non-coding RNA is filed under the name uncultured Chaetothyriales. RNAcentral describes it as "sequence contains ITS2". Lineage: Eukaryota; Fungi; Ascomycota; Eurotiomycetes; Chaetothyriales. The record is from RNAcentral.